ACUUGAACAAAUCGGUGGGGAUAUCAAAUGGGGGUAGGUUAAAGCCUAUUUCCAGUGGUUCAUCGCUGAAUAUAACUGGAACUUUAAUGCUGCAUAAUUCAAUACUAGCCCUAUUCUUGUUAUUUUUUUAAAAAUAUUAUU
Hibiscus syriacus is the source of this 141-nucleotide long non-coding RNA. RefSeq lists it as uncharacterized. The record is from RefSeq and is a predicted model, not a curated record. The transcript has 3 exons. Lineage: Eukaryota; Viridiplantae; Streptophyta; Magnoliopsida; Malvales; Malvaceae.